This 254-nucleotide ribosomal RNA is filed under the name uncultured bacterium. RNAcentral's name for it is "partial 16S ribosomal RNA". It matches the Rfam family "Bacterial small subunit ribosomal RNA", at positions 524 to 776 of the family's 1533-position model. The record is from RNAcentral.
CACGUAGGGGGCGAGCGUUGUCCGGAUUUAUUGGGCGUAAAGAGCUCGUAGGCGGCUCGGUAAGUCAGGUGUGAAAACUCUAGGCUCAACCUAGAGACGCCACCUGAUACUGCUGUGGCUAGAGUCCGGUAGGGGAGCAUGGAAUUCCUGGUGUAGCGGUGAAAUGCGCAGAUAUCAGGAGGAACACCAGUGGCGAAGGCGGUGCUCUGGGCCGGUACUGACGCUGAGGCGCGAAAGCGUGGGUAGCAAACAGG